UCCUACGGGGGGCAGCAGUGGGGAAUAUUGCACAAUGGGCGAAAGCCUGAUGCAGCGACGCCGCGUGAGGGAUGAAGGCCUUCGGGUUGUAAACCUCUUUCAGCAGGGAAGAAGCGCAAGUGACGGUACCUGCAGAAGAAGCGCCGGCUAACUACGUGCCAGCAGCCGCGGUAAUACGUAGGGCGCAAGCGUUGUCCGGAAUUAUUGGGCGUAAAGAGCUCGUAGGCGGUUUGUCGCGUCUGGUGUGAAAACUCGAGGCUCAACUUCGAGCUUGCAUCGGGUACGGGCAGACUAGAGUGCGGUAGGGGAGACGGGAAUUCCUGGUGUAGCGGUGGAAUGCGCAGAUAUCAGGAGGAACACCGAUGGCGAAGGCAGGUCUCUGGGCCGCAACUGACGCUGAGGAGCGAAAGCAUGGGGAGCGAACAGGAUUAGAUACCCGAGUAGUCUUG
This 449-nucleotide ribosomal RNA is filed under the name uncultured Cellulosimicrobium sp. RNAcentral describes it as "bacterial SSU rRNA". It matches the Rfam family "Bacterial small subunit ribosomal RNA", at positions 337 to 799 of the family's 1533-position model. The record is from RNAcentral. Lineage: Bacteria; Bacillati; Actinomycetota; Actinomycetes; Micrococcales; Promicromonosporaceae.